UCAAUAAGCGGAGGAAAAGAAACUAACAAGGAUUCCCCUAGUAACUGCGAGUGAAGCGGGAAAAGCUCAAAUUUAAAAUCUGGCGGUCUUUGGCCGUCCGAGUUGUAAUCUAGAGAAGUGCUAUCCGCGCUGGACCGUGUACAAGUCUCCUGGAAUGGAGCGUCAUAGAGGGUGAGAAUCCCGUCUUUGACACGGACUGCCAGGGCUUUGUGAUGUGCUCUCAAAGAGUCGAGUUGUUUGGGAAUGCAGCUCAAAAUGGGUGGUAAAUUCCAUCUAAAGCUAAAUAUUGGCGAGAGACCGAUAGCGAACAAGUACCGUGAGGGAAAGAUGAAAAGAACUUUGGAAAGAGAGUUAAACAGUACGUGAAAUUGCUGAAAGGGAAACGCUUGAAGUCAGUCGCGUUGUCCAGGGAUCAUCCUUGCUUUUGCUUGGUGCACUUUCUGGUUGAUGGGUCAGCAUCAAUUUUGACCAUUGGAAAAAGAUUAGGGGAAUGUGGCAUCUUUGGAUGUGUUAUAGCCCUUUGUUGCAUACAAUGGUUGGGAUUGAGGAACUCAGCACGCCGCAAGGCCGGGUUUUUAACCACGUACGUGCUUAGGAUGCUGGCAUAAUGGCUUUAAUCGACCCGUCUUGAAACACGGACCAAGGAGUCUAACAUGCCUGCGAGUGUUUGGGUGGAAAACCCGAGCGCGUAAUGAAAGUGAAAGUUGAGAUCCCUGUCGUGGGGAGCAUCGACGCCCGGACCAGACCUUUUGUGACGGUUCCGCGGUAGAGCAUGUAUGUUGGGACCCGAAAGAUGGUGAACUAUGCCUGAAUAGGGUGAAGCCAGAGGAAACUCUGGUGGAGGCUCGUAGCGAUUCUGACGUGCAAAUCGAUCGUCAAAUUUGGGUAUAGGGGCGAAAGACUAAUCGAACCAUCUAGUAGCUGGUUCCUGC
This 932-nucleotide ribosomal RNA is filed under the name Cortinarius olivaceoniger. RNAcentral's name for it is "LSU rRNA". It matches the Rfam family "Eukaryotic large subunit ribosomal RNA", at positions 43 to 961 of the family's 3401-position model. The record is from RNAcentral. Lineage: Eukaryota; Fungi; Basidiomycota; Agaricomycetes; Agaricales; Cortinariaceae.